This 492-nucleotide ribosomal RNA is filed under the name uncultured bacterium. RNAcentral describes it as "partial 16S ribosomal RNA". It matches the Rfam family "Bacterial small subunit ribosomal RNA", at positions 29 to 507 of the family's 1533-position model. The record is from RNAcentral.
AGUGAACGCUGGCGGUAGGCCUAACACAUGCAAGUCGAACGGCAGCACAGUAAGAGCUUGCUCUUACGGGUGGCGAGUGGCGGACGGGUGAGGAAUACAUCGGAAUCUACUUUUUCGUGGGGGAUAACGGAGGGAAACUUAUGCUAAUACCGCAUAUGACCUACGGGUGAAAGCAGGGGAUCUUCGGACCUUGCGCGAUUGAAUGAGCCGAUGUCGGAUUAGCUAGUUGGCGGGGUAAAGGCCCACCAAGGCGACGAUCCGUAGCUGGUCUGAGAGGAUGAUCAGCCACACUGGAACUGAGACACGGUCCAGACUCCUACGGGAGGCAGCAGUGGGGAAUAUUGGACAAUGGGCGCAAGCCUGAUCCAGCCAUAUCGCGUGAGUGAAGAAGGCCUUCUGGUUGUAAAGCCCUUUUGUUGGGAAAGAACAAAAGCAGGUUAAUACCCCGAUGUUCUGACGGUACCCAAAGAAUAAGCCCCGGCUAACUUCGUG